Molecule: transfer RNA, 115 nt
Filed under: Endocarpon pusillum Z07020
Lineage: Eukaryota; Fungi; Ascomycota; Eurotiomycetes; Verrucariales; Verrucariaceae
Rfam family: tRNA
About the family: Transfer RNA (tRNA) molecules are approximately 80 nucleotides in length.
Source: Rfam by way of RNAcentral
AGCCCAGUGACGCAGUGGUUAGCGUGUCGUUCUUAUACUCAACCGUUUUCAUGGUUUUGUAUGGCUUGCCUCACAAGUGAUGCGAAAGUCCCGAGUUCGACUCUCGGUUGGGCUA